This 90-nucleotide transfer RNA is filed under the name Allochromatium vinosum. Its description in RNAcentral is "tRNA-Ser". It matches the Rfam family "tRNA". From Rfam's summary of the family: Transfer RNA (tRNA) molecules are approximately 80 nucleotides in length. Their secondary structure includes four short double-helical elements and three loops (D, anti-codon, and T loops). Lineage: Bacteria; Pseudomonadati; Pseudomonadota; Gammaproteobacteria; Chromatiales; Chromatiaceae. RNAcentral also lists the same sequence under 5 other names. The record is from RNAcentral.
GGAGAGGUGCCAGAGCGGCCGAAUGGGCCUGACUCGAAAUCAGGUGUACGCGCGAGCGUACCGUGGGUUCGAAUCCCACCCUCUCCGCCA